GGCAAGUCGAGCGAACGGACGAGAGUGCUUGCACUCUCUGAUGUUAGCGGCSSAYGGGUGAGUAACACGUGGGUAACCUACCUAUAAGACUGGGAUAACUUCGGGAAACCGGAGCUAAUACCGGAUAAUAUUUAGCUUCGCAUGAAGCAAUAGUGAAAGACGGUUCUGCUGUCACUUAUAGAUGGACCCGCGGUGUAUUAGCUAGUUGGUGAGGUAACGGCUCACCAAGGCAACGAUACAUAGCCGACCUGAGAGGGUGAUCGGCCACACUGGGACUGAGACACGGCCCAGACUCCUACGGGAGGCAGCAGUAGGGAAUCUUCCGCAAUGGACGAAAGUCUGACGGAGCAACGCCGCGUGAGUGAAGAAGGUUUUCGGAUCGUAAAACUCUGUUGUAAGGGAAGAACAAGUACGUUAGUAACUGAACGUACCUUGACGGUACCUUACCAGAAAGCCACGGCUAACUACGUGCCAGCAGCCGCGGUAAUACGUAGGUGGCAAGCGUUAUCCGGAAUUAUUGGGCGUAAAGCGCGCGUAGGCGGUCUCUUAAGUCUGAUGUGAAAGCCCCCGGCUCAACCGGGGAGGGUCAUUGGAAACUGGGAGACUUGAGUGCAGAAGAGGAGAGUGGAAUUCCAUGUGUAGCGGUGAAAUGCGCAGAGAUAUGGAGGAACACCAGUGGCGAAGGCGGCUCUCUGGUCUGUAACUGACGCUGAGGUGCGAAAGCGUGGGGAUCAAACAGGAUUAGAUACCCUGGUAGUCCACGCCGUAAACGAUGAGUGCUAAGUGUUG
Molecule: ribosomal RNA, 789 nt
Filed under: Macrococcoides caseolyticum
Lineage: Bacteria; Bacillati; Bacillota; Bacilli; Caryophanales; Staphylococcaceae
Description: bacterial SSU rRNA
Rfam family: Bacterial small subunit ribosomal RNA
Source: RNAcentral